UAGCCCACCCGUUUUUUGGCCAUUUUUCCGCUGGGGGGUUUUGGCACCACGACCUUCGGGCGCUUAUCAUUUGACGCGGCUUUGUCCGCGGCUUAUUUUUGGCACCCCGAGGCCCCUCGCAAAGUCUCGCCCCAUUCCGAGUCCGGCGGACGAACUUCGCCCGCGCCCCCCACCAAGGCUAUAGCCCACCCGUUUUUUGGCCAUUUUUCCGCUGGGGGGUUUUGGCACCACGACCUUCGGGCGCUUAUUUUUGGGCGCGGCUUUGCCCGCGGCUUAUUUUUGGCACCCCGAGGCCCCUCGCAAAGUCUCGCCCCAUUCCGAGUCCGGCGGACGAACUUCGCCCGCGCCCCCCACCAAGGCUAUAGCCCACCCGUUUUUUGGCCAUUUUUCCGCUGGGGGGUUUUGGCACCACGACCUUCGGGCGCUUAUUUUUGGGCGCGGCUUUGCCCGCGGCUUAUUUUUGGCACCCCGAGGCCCCUCGCAAAGUCUCGCCCCAUUCCGAGUCCGGCGGACGAACUUCGCCCGCGCCCCCCACCAAGGCUAUAGCCCACCCGUUUUUUGGCCAUUUUUCCGCUGGGGGGUUUUGGCACCACGACCUUCGGGCGCUUAUUUUUGGGCGCGGCUUUGCCCGCGGCUUAUUUUUGGCACCCCGAGGCCCCUCGCAAAGUCUCGCCCCAUUCCGAGUCCGGCGGACGAACUUCGCCCGCGCCCCCCACCAAGGCUAUAGCCCACCCGUUUGGUGGCCAUUUUUCCGCUGGGGGGUUUUGGCACCACGACCUUCGGGCGCUUAGUUUUGGGCGCGGCUUUGCCCGCGGCUUAUUUUUGGCACCCCGAGGCCCCUCGCAAAGUCUCGCCCCAUUCCGAGUCCGGCGGACGAACUUCGCCCGCGCCCCCCACCAAGGCUAUAGCCCACCCGUUUUUUGGCCAUUUUUCCGCUGGGGGGUUUUGGCACCACGACCUUCGGGCACUUAUUUUUGGGCGCGGCUUUGCCCGCGGCUUAUAUUUGGCACCCCGAGGCCCCUCGCAAAGUCUCGCCCCAUUCCGAGUCCGGCGGACGAACUUCGCCCGCGCCCCCCACCAAGGCUAUAGCCCACCCGUUUUUUGGCCAUUUUUCCGCUGGGGGGAUUUGGCACCACGACCUUCGGGCGCUUAUUUUUGGGCGCGGCUUUGCCCGCGGCUUAUUUUUGGUACCCCGAGGCCCCUCGCAAAGUCUCGCCCCAUUCCGAGUCCGGCGGACAAACUUCGCCCGCGCCCCCCACCAAGGCUAUAGCCCACCCGUUUUUUGGCCAAUUUUCCGCUGGGGGGUUUUGGCACCACGACCUUCGGGGGCUUAUUUUUGGACGCGGCUGUGCCCGCAACUUUCCGCGGGCACCCCGAGGCCCCUCGCAAAGUCUCGCCCCAUUCCGAGUCCGGCGGACGAACUUCGCCCGCGCCCCCCACCAAGGCUAUAGCCCACCCGUUUUUUGGCCAUUUUUCCGCUGGGGGGUUUUGGCACCACGACCUUCGGGCACUUAUUUUUGGACGCGGCUGUGCCCGCGACUUCCCGCGGGCACCCCGAGGCCCCUCGCAAAGUCUGGCCCCAUUCCGAGUCCGGCGGACGAACUUCGCCCGCGCCCCCCACCAAGGCUAUAGCCCACCCGUUUUUUGGCCAUUUUUCCGCUGGGGGGUUUUGGCACCACGACCUUCGGGCGCUUAUUUUUGGACGCGGCUGUGCCCGCGACUUCCCGCGGGCACCCCGAGGCCCCUCGCAAAGUCUCGCCCCAUUCCGAGUCCGGCGGACGAACUUCGCCCGCGCCCCCCACCAAGGCUAUAGCCCACCCGUUUUUUGGCCAUUUUUCCGCUGGGGGGUUUUGGCACCACGACCUUCGGGCGCUUAUUCUUGGGCGCGGCUUUGCCCGCGGCUUAUUUUUGGCACCCCGAGGCCUCUCGCAAAGUCUCGCCCCAUUCCGAGUCCGGCGGACGAACUUCGCCCGCGCCCCCCACCAAGGCUAUAGCCCACCCGUUUUUUGGCCAUUUUUCCGCUGGGGGGUUUUGGCACCACGACCUUCGGGCGCUUAUUUUUGGGCACGGCUUUGCCCGCGGCUUAUUUUUGGUACCCCGAGGCCCCUCGCAAAGUCUCGCCCCAUUCCGAGUCCGGCGGACGAACUUCGCCCGCGCCCCCCACCAAGGCUAUAGCCCACCCGUUUUUUGGCCAUUUUUCCGCUGGGGGGUUUUGGCACCACGACCUUCGGGGGCUUAUUUUUGGACGCGGCUGUGCCCGCAACUUUCCGCGGGCAACCCGAGGCCCCUCGCAAAGUCUCGCCCCAUUCCGAGUCCGGCGGAAGAACUUCGCCCGCGCCCCCCACCAAGGCUAUAGCCCACCCGUUUUUUGGCCAUUUUUCCGCUGGGGGGUUUUGGCACCACGACC
Molecule: long non-coding RNA, 2407 nt
Filed under: Citrus x clementina
Lineage: Eukaryota; Viridiplantae; Streptophyta; Magnoliopsida; Sapindales; Rutaceae
Description: Citrus clementina (C. clementina) long non-coding RNA (CCLE_LNC003720)
Source: RNAcentral